AAAGAAGAAAGUGACGAGUAGAUAGAUGAUAAAUGUAUUGGUUUUUAUGUUGUGUAUGACUUCCUCUUAAAACAUAACAUGUUUGUGAGGGACUAUAGCCCAGGCCUCUUUCUUUAACUGGUGAUUAAUGCAAUUGCAAUGGGCGAAUCACAAAUCAAUAUUGGCAAAUAUUUUUGCCUUGGCUAAUGUCAGAAGCUUGCGCGCUUCUCAACUGGAGAGAACGCACAGGUCCAGUGGAAGUUGCAGGGGUCGCCGAAAUGAAAUUUUGGGCAGUCGGUAGAAAAAAAUGGCUGGGAAGAGACUUGCAGAUUGAAAGCAACAUUUGGCGAGAUCGCAUGCAGUAUGGAUUCAAACUAUACAGCUGCCGAUUAGGGUUUUCAUUUGCAAAUGACAGGCUAGCACCGGAGCAUGGACAGGCUUCGCUUUUGAUCAUGCGCUUUGGCCUUGGUGCAUUCAUCUCUCGCACAAGUCCCUUUGUUCGGCUCUUGUCCGGUAAAUUUGUUGAUCGACAUCAUUCAAAAUGGAGGCAAAGACUUGUGAACUUCAAAAUUCACUCCUUUUACAAAGACCUGUAAACUGUACACUCCUAUUCUUUAAAUGUAAAUUUUAAUGUUAGGUACAAUUCCACAUUUAUCUGUAGUUUUUGUAGCAUGCCUCAAUUAGUUGCCACUACAUAAAUUGAAAUAGCAAUCCUCAAGUGGGCUAAAGGGAUUUAUACUAGAUAGAAAAAUAUAUUGUAUGCUUGAUUGUGAGAUUUGAAACUAUCAUUGAUGACUUGAGAUCUGAUCUCAUUACCAUCAAUAAACUACAUAUAUCCCCUUGCUUGUGCAGAGAAUAUGCGCUUGUCUUGCUUGAUGAACGGUGGUCAGUUUUUGUCAGAAUUUAGAAGUUCCAAGAGCAGAAAAGAAGCCAUUGGAAAUCUCAGCCAUCUGCAACUAAAAAUGUUGAACAACAUUAAAAGUGUUUAUUGUCUACCUAAUCUUACCAAACCAGAACAACUAUGGCUGCCGAGUCUAUGAGAGCAGAUUGCCAUAUUGAAGAACGCUUUGCCCAGCCAAAUACUAUUUAUCAAGGUCUUUGAAUGCAGAAGCUCAAAACAAUCACAAAAACACAAUCAGAAAGCCCAGAAAGCCUACAAAGAAGUUCAGACCAGCCAGAAAAGUCUACAAAGAAAUUGAAUGAGAAAAGGGGAAUAAAAUUAAACAGUUCAUUACCACUACUAGUUUUGUACACAAUUAAUUGACAAACAAUGUUCAGGACAAGUUAUUUCAAUUUCAAUUCCACGUAAAUAUGCUCAAGGAAUAUAUAUACAUAUUUCCUCUUUUUUCUUUGUAAUGCAGUGUUCUGUCUAAGCACCCAAUCAAUCAUUUCUUGCUCGGUUUUGUUC
RNA transcript from Cryptomeria japonica (Japanese cedar), 1387 nucleotides. RefSeq lists it as uncharacterized. The transcript is spliced from 7 exons. The record is from RefSeq and is a predicted model, not a curated record. NCBI's taxonomy places the organism in Eukaryota, Viridiplantae, Streptophyta, Pinopsida, Cupressales, Cupressaceae.